GGAUUAGAUACCCUGGUAGUCCACGCAGUAAACGGUGAUCACUAGGUGUAGCGGGUAUUGACCCCUGCUGUGCCGGAGCUAACGCAUUAAGUGAUCCGCCUGGGGAGUACGAUCGCAAGAUUAAAACUCAAAGGAAUUGACGGGGGCCCGCACAAGCGGUGGAGCAUGUGGUUUAAUUCGACGCAACGCGAAGAACCUUACCUGGGUUUGACAUCUCGGGGAUGUUUUUGAAAAAAGACAGUGCCCUUCGGGGAGCCCGAUGACAGGUGCUGCAUGGCUGUCGUCAGCUCGUGCCG
This 296-nucleotide ribosomal RNA is filed under the name uncultured bacterium. RNAcentral describes it as "partial 16S ribosomal RNA". It matches the Rfam family "Bacterial small subunit ribosomal RNA", at positions 775 to 1067 of the family's 1533-position model. The record is from RNAcentral.